CAGUCGCCACGGGAAUACGGAGGGUGCAAGCGUUAUCCGGAUUUAUUGGGUUUAAAGGGUCCGUAGGCGGAUCUGUAAGUCAGUGGUGAAAUCUCACAGCUUAACUGUGAAACUGCCAUUGAUACUGCAGGUCUUGAGUAAAUUUGAAGUGGCUGGAAUAAGUAGUGUAGCGGUGAAAUGCAUAGAUAUUACUUAGAACACCAAUUGCGAAGGCAGGUCACUAAGAUUUAACUGACGCUGAUGGACGAAAGCGUGGGGAGCGAACAGGAUUAGAUACCCGAGUAGUCCCUGUCUCUUAUAA
RNAcentral lists this ribosomal RNA (301 nucleotides) under uncultured bacterium. RNAcentral describes it as "partial 16S ribosomal RNA". It matches the Rfam family "Bacterial small subunit ribosomal RNA", at positions 509 to 809 of the family's 1533-position model. The record is from RNAcentral.